CCUACGGGUGGCUGCAGUGGGGAAUAUUGGACAAUGGGGGGAACCCUGAUCCAGCCAUGCCGCGUGUGUGAAGAAGGCCCUCGGGUUGUAAAGCACUUUCAGUGAGGAAGAACGCCUGGUGGUUAAUACCCAUCAGGAAAGACAUCACUCACAGAAGAAGCACCGGCUAACUCCGUGCCAGCAGCCGCGGUAAUACGGAGGGUGCGAGCGUUAAUCGGAAUUACUGGGCGUAAAGCGCGCGUAGGUGGCUUGAUAAGCCGGUUGUGAAAGCCCCGGGCUCAACCUGGGAACGGCAUCCGGAACUGUCAAGCUAGAGUGCAGGAGAGGAAGGUAGAAUUCCCGGUGUAGCGGUGAAAUGCGUAGAGAUCGGGAGGAAUACCAGUGGCGAAGGCGGCCUUAUGGACUGACACUGACACUGAGGUGCGAAAGCGUGGGUAGCAAACAGGAUUAGAUACCCUAGUAGUC
This 465-nucleotide ribosomal RNA is filed under the name Vreelandella stevensii. RNAcentral's name for it is "partial 16S ribosomal RNA". It matches the Rfam family "Bacterial small subunit ribosomal RNA", at positions 338 to 795 of the family's 1533-position model. The record is from RNAcentral. Lineage: Bacteria; Pseudomonadati; Pseudomonadota; Gammaproteobacteria; Oceanospirillales; Halomonadaceae.